Molecule: RNA transcript, 5221 nt
Organism: Glossina fuscipes
Lineage: Eukaryota; Metazoa; Arthropoda; Insecta; Diptera; Glossinidae
Gene name: glycogen debranching enzyme
Exons: 13
Source: RefSeq, a predicted model, not a curated record
UGUCAUCGUCGACCAAAACGAUGAUGAUAACGAGUACAAUAAGAAUAAGUCUGGCAGUGUGAACAAGAAUAAUGAUUGUAAGGAUAAAAAUGAAAGCGAAUAUGAAACAGUUACUCGUGAGCAGUGGAAAGCAUUAAAUCGUACGUAUAGCAGAAGUACGACGAUGGGUAGUAAAUCAUCUAAAAGAAGAAAUUAUCAGGAGAAAUCCUCUAAUAUGAGUAGAAUUUCGAAUGCACUUAGCAUAUCGAUAACAGAGGGUACGAAUGCCGAAAAUUUCUUAUAUCGUAUCAAAAGGGGUUCGGUACUACAUGUUCAUCCGGAGGCAGCAAUUUUGGGACGUGAAAUCGUACUUUAUACAAAUUACCCUGCAACAGAUGAUCAAUUUAAACGUACGGAAUUUAGAACUCUAGAUUGGUUUCGUAAAAAUGGCAGACAAAUCACCACUAAUAAAUAUCAAUCAGCCCAUAUCGUGGAUACGGACAUAUAUGCAGAAGUUAAGAUGAAUAUGUCGGGAACAUUUCGUUUCUGGUUUCAUUAUAAGGAGAGCCCAAAGAAAGAACCAGCUGGAUCGCUCUAUGUUCAAGUAGAGCCAACUUUACAAGUUGGUCGACCAGGAGUUGAAAGAGUGAUACCCUUAGAUUCGGUGCGUUGUCAAACGGUUUUGUCGAAGCUGUUAGGACCCAUAACAACAUGGGAAUCAAAACUGCGAGUGACUAAGGAGUCGGGUUAUAACGUUAUACAUUUUACUCCCAUACAAGAAUUGGGCGCUUCACGUUCCGCUUAUUGUUUACGUGAUCAAUUGCGAAUAAAUUCCGAUUUCGCGAAAUCAAAAGGUGAAAAAGUAAAUUUUGAAGAUAUAGAGAAGGUGGUGAGGCAAUUACGCGAGGAGUGGGAAAUAGCCUCGAUUUGUGAUAUUGUUUUAAAUCAUACUGCCAAUGAAUCUGAAUGGUUACUUGAACAUCCAGAGGCCACAUAUUCCUGUGCCACAUGUCCUUAUCUACGACCUGCUUUUCUCUUGGACGCUUUGCUAACCAAAUGCGGUGAAGACAUAGCAAAUGGUUUACUGGAAGAUAAAGGAAUUCCUUCAAUUAUUGAUCGCGAAGAGCACUUAGAAGCUUUAAAAUAUCAGUUGCUUUAUGUCUAUCUUCCAAAAGUGAACAUUCACGAGUUCUAUCAAUGUAAUGCCACGAAAUAUGUUAGUGAUUUUAUGGAUCAUAUAGGUACACUCCAGCCACCUAUGAACGUGGUUAAAGAGCAGCGUUUUAAAGAAGUGAAAUUGCUACCAGAUAAGGAAUAUAAACGCUUAGGAGCUGCUAUCAAUAUGAACGUAGCUUUAGAUGUGUUCAACAGUUUCUAUGCCGACUGUUUUGAUGAGGAUUCGCGCGCACGCAAAUGUGCGGAUGCCCUACGCAUGCACCUAGAAUCGCUUAACGAAGAGGUGCGCAAUAAGAUUCAAGGUUAUUUAAACGAAGCUGUCGAUAAUUGUUUGAACGGUGUGCGUUACGAACGCGUUCGAAACGAUGGUCCUCAAAUUAAGGAAAUAUCUGAAAAAUACCCAGUAUUUGUUCAGUACUUUACACAAACGAAAGCUUUUGGUAAAACUCUUAAAAAUAUUGAAGCAGACAUGUAUGAUAAGGUAGGGGAAAUGUUUAUGGCUCAUAACGGCUGGGUAAUGGGUUCAACAAAUCCCCUGAAAGACUUUGCCGAAGAACAACCAGGUUAUGCUAAUGUGUACUUAAAACGAGAGCUUAUAGCCUGGAGUGAUAGCGUGAAGUUGCGUUAUGGUAAAUCGCCUGAAGACAGCCCUUUCCUCUGGCAGCAUAUGGCAGUUUAUGUAGCAACAAUGGCUCGCAUUUUCGAUGGUGUGCGCUUAGACAACUGCCACUCAACUCCUAUACAUGUAGCAGAGCAUCUCUUAGAUAUUGCUAGAGAAACUAAGCCGAAUCUCUAUGUGGUCGCCGAACUAUUUACUAACUCUGAUGCUACUGACAAUGUGUUUGUUAAUCGUUUGGGUAUCACUUCGUUAAUAAGAGAAGCUUUAGCGGCCUGGGACGCACAUGAACAAGGACGUUUGGUAUAUCGUUUUGGAGGUCUGCCUGUAGGGGCGUUUAUGGUAAAUCCCAAACGUGAUUUGGCCCCAAGUGUAGCCCAUGCUAUGUUCAUGGAUAUGACACAUGAUAACCCCUCACCUAUCGAAAAAAGAUCAGCAUAUGAUCUUUUGCCAUCAUCGGCUUUGGUUGCUAUGGCUUGUUGUGCGAUUGGCAGUAGUCGCGGUUAUGACGAAUUGGUUCCUCAUCAUAUUCACAUCGUAGACGAGAAACGCACUUACCAAUCGUGGGAUAAAGAAGUAGAUUUGAGUACAGGGAUUAUAGCAGCUAAACGGGCAUUAAACAACCUGCACCAUCACUUAGCUGAAAAGGGUUUUACUCAAGUUUUUGUAGACCAAAUGGACCCGAAUAUUGUAGCGGUCACUCGACAUUCACCCCAAACUCAUGAAAGCGUCAUUCUUGUGGCUCAUACAGCCUUCAGUUAUCCUCAUGCAAGUGCUGGUCCCACAUAUGUUCGACCUUUAUGCUUUGAAGGUAAACUUGAUGAGAUUGUAUUGGAAGCCCAGUUUUAUAUGAAAAGUGAGAAACCUUUUGGGCGCCCUCAACCCUUCAAAAGGCAUCCUGAUGUGAUUAAUGGUUAUCAACAGUUUCAGUUAAUUCUAAGUGAACAUAUUCCCUUAAAUAAGUCGAAAAUCUUUCGCCAUAAAUCCAAUGCAGAGGAACAUUUAACAAAGUUGGAUUUCGAAAAUUUUAAACCUGGCUGUGUAGUGGUCAUCAAAGUGUCCUUGAAUUCACCAUCCCGCGAAAAUAUUUUACGUUUACAUCAAUGGAUCCACUCCAUGCAGUUUCGUGACGGAGGAGCUUUUCAGGAGCUUCAAAAGGUGGCUAAGACAUUAGAUUUUGUUGACUUGAAUCGCGCCUUGUUCACAUGUGAUCAGGAAGAGCGUGAUUUAGGCUUUGGCGGGGGCGUCUACAACGUACCUGGAUUCGGUCCCUUAGUUUAUUGUGGUUUGCAAGGCUUCAUUUCUCUCCUAACUGAGAUAUCACCGCACAAUGACUUGGGCCAUCCAUUUUGUGACAAUUUGCGAAAUGGCAAUUGGAUGAUGGAUUACAUAGUCGAUCGUUUGUCUCAUUUCGACGAUACCAAAGCUUUAUCAUUUAAGUUGAAAGCGGCCUUCAAUUAUUUAAAACACAUACCACGCUAUUUGAUACCCUGUUAUUUCGACUUUAUUCUAAGCGGGGUAUACGAGAUAUUGAUCGACCGUGUCUAUCAACUGAUGCCUGACUUUAUACGUGACGGCCAUAAUUUCCCGCAGUUAUUGGCUUCGGCUACGCUUGAAUUUUUAAGCGUUUGCAAUUCGGCUAAUUUACCGACUUUAAGCCCCGAACUUUUACCACCAAAACCUCUUUCACAAAAUGUUACCUUAGCAGCCGGCCUUCCCCAUUUCUCUACCGGUUAUAUGCGUUGCUGGGGUCGUGACACCUUUAUCUCUUUACGCGGUCUUAUGUUUUUAACGGGACGAUACGUAGAGGCAAGGUUUAUAAUAUUGGGCUUUGCGCAAUGCUUGCGCCAUGGAUUAAUACCUAAUCUCUUGGAUAAUGGUGUCAGACCUCGCUUCAAUUGCCGCGAUGCCGUUUGGUGGUGGUUGUUUAGCAUUAAGCAAUAUGUAGAGCAAGCUCCUCAAGGUGCCAAGAUACUGAAAGAUAAAGUUUCGCGUAUAUUUCCUUAUGAUGAUUCAGAAGCUCAUGGCCCUGGGAAAUUUGAUCAAAUUCUAAUAGAUGUUGUGCAAGAGGCUGUGCAAGUUCAUUUUCAAGGAUUACUGUAUACAGAACGUAAUGCGGGGCCCGAAAUUGAUGAUCAUAUGACUGUCAGAGGUUUUAAUAAUCAAAUUGGUGUAAAUCGGCAAACGGGUUUUGUAUAUGGCGGAAAUCAAUGGAACUGUGGCACAUGGAUGGAUAAAAUGGGUUCGUCAGAGAAAGCUGGCAAUAGAGGGCGGCCAAAUACACCGAGGGAUGGUAGCGCAGUAGAGCUGGUAGGCCUUCAAUAUGCAGUCUUACGUUUCAUGCAAUCUAUAAAUGAACAGGGGCUUUCUGAAUACAAGGAGGUAACCCGUAAAAGCCCGGAAGGAUUAGUGUCUACCUGGACUUAUAAAGAUUGGGCUGAUCGGAUCAAAGAGAAUUUCGAAAAUUAUUUUUUCGUCUCCAAUGAAGACACUGCUUCGUUAGCUAACAAAAAGAAUAUUUACAAAGACUGUUAUGGUGCUUCUCACAGCUGGACUGAUUAUCAAUUACGUUGCAAUUUCCCCAUCGCUAUGGUAAUAGCUCAGGAUCUUUUUAAUCCUCAGCACGCUUGGGCAGCCUUAGAACAGGCUCGUGAACAUUUAGUGGGCCCCUUAGGUAUGAAAACUUUGGAUCCAGGUGAUUGGAAUUACCGUGGUACCUACGACAAUUCCAACGAUUCGUCAGAUGCCAGUGUGGCUCAUGGAGCUAAUUACCACCAAGGCCCUGAAUGGAUUUGGCCAAUGGGCUACUAUUUGAGGGCACGUUUGAUCUUCGCUAAGAAAUGCGGACAUCUAAAUGAAACAAUUGCUGAAACAUGGAAAAUUUUAAGGCUUCACUUAAAAGAAUUACAAACAUCACACUGGCGGGGGUUGCCUGAACUAACUAAUGAAAAUGGUGCUUUUUGCCGUGAUUCAUGCCCUACACAAGCCUGGAGUAUAGCAAGUAUAAUGGAGGUGCUUUACGAUUUACACUCCUUGGGAGGAGAUUUCUAAACGGACCUAUCAAUUGUCUUCGUCGAUCAUACAUUUGGAGAUGUUGCGUUUUAUUUUUUGUCAUCAUGUCUGUUUUUUUUCGUUGCCAAAAGCAAAAUAUAAUAACUUCAUGUCCACGCACCUGAAGAAGAAAAAUCUUCUUUGAGAUCAUAUCUUGAAUUCAAUUGAUGCUGAUAACUAUGUUAAAAAAGGGCACGACUAUAUUAAAAGGGUGAAAUCUAUGUUAAAACUGUUCAGAAGAAGUGCAAAAGGUUAGAGUAGAUGAAAAGUGUAUAUAAGCGUACGAUAAUGAGCCAAUUUUCCAUGCCUGUCUGUCGACUCUAUUCUCGGACAGGUGGAUUACGCAGAACGACUUAAGAUAGACGCACCUUUCCAUCUUCUUCUUUUCUUCCGGAUCAU